Molecule: ribosomal RNA, 409 nt
Filed under: bacterium enrichment culture clone ALO1_GLFRUDD03F5TE7
Lineage: Bacteria
Description: bacterial SSU rRNA
Rfam family: Bacterial small subunit ribosomal RNA
Source: RNAcentral
GAGUUUGAUCGUGGCUCAGAUUGAACGCUGGCGGCAUGCCUUACACAUGCAAGUCGAACGGCAGCACGGGAGCUUGCUCCUGGUGGCGAGUGGCGAACGGGUGAGUAAUGCAUCGGAACGUAUCCUGGAGUGGGGGAUAACGUAGCGAAAGUUACGCUAAUACCGCAUAUUCUGUGAGCAGGAAAGCGGGGGACCUUCGGGCCUCGCGCUCUUGGAGCGGCCGAUGUCGGAUUAGCUAGUUGGUGAGGUAAAGGCUCACCAAGGCGACGAUCCGUAGCAGGUCUGAGAGGAUGAUCUGCCACACUGGAACUGAGACACGGUCCAGACGUCCUACGGGAGGCAGGCAGUGGGAAUUUUGGACAAUGGGGGCAACCCUGAUCCAGCCAUGCCGCGUGAGUGAAGAAGGCCU